ACUUUGUAAGGAGUUCAAAUGAAGUUUCAGCUGAUAAAGACCUAUCCCAUAUACCUCCAUUAAAGACCCAUGAUAAAUCAUUAACAAGAUUACUAUCAAAGAGAUAGAAGAUUUACUGUCUGUCAGUACAUCACUUCAAGGGAAGGAAACAGUGACAGAAUCAUUCAUUUAACCCCCUGUGACUAAAAGGAAGCUGAUGGGUAGUGACAUCUCAAAGGUUGCUGUUGUAGAAGAGAAAUUAUAAAGUAAGACUGAAAAACAAACUUACCAAGAAAUGAGCAUUUCAAGGUUAUGAUGAAUUACCAAAUGAACAGCUUGUGCUUGAGCAUCAAGAUUUAGUGCCAAAAACCCAAAUGCAAGUAGAGAAACAAAAAACUCCUGGAAGAAAAGAUUCACUAAACCAAGGUGACACCAAUAUGGUUUGUGGGACUGCUAAAGCACUCUGCAAGAGUGGUCCAAACAUAUUUUAGUCACAGGGAGCUCAUUACAGCUCAGUUUGGAGUACUAGAUGGAAAUCUUGUGCUUGAUGAAAACUAAAAUUCAAUAUCAAAAACACAAAUGCAAGUAAAGAAACAGAGAACAUCCAAAGGGGAAAGAAACAUUACUAAUGAUGAUGUACCAGAUAAAAACCUUAUGCUUAAGCAUCAAGACUCAAAGUCAGAAACAGAAAUGCAAGUAAAGAAACAAAAAACUUCCCAAGGUGAAACAUUCAUUAGAAGAUUUUUGGGAGACAAAGGUGCUAGGUGCUGGCAAUUAGCCUCUCUUUAUGUAGCUCAUGACAACGUAACAGAUGAAAAUCCUGUGCUUGAGCCACAAGAGUCAAUGUCAAAAACCCAACUUCAAGUAAACAAACAAAAAAUUGCUAAAGAGGAAAGAGUCACUAAACUCAAAUUGGUAGAUAAGGUGUUGAGAUCUGUAACUCAAAAGGCAAAUGUGGAUCAAAGGAACAAACUAGAAGGGUUGCCUGAGAGGCCUGCUGGAGGAUCCGUAAGGCAUCCGUUUGGCUGGGACCCACUCAAAGCUCAUGAUAAAGUACCUGGAAAUUAUGAUCCUAAAGACUCAAUGUCAAAAACUCAACUGCAAGUAAAAAAACAAAGAGCUUCCAAAGGGGAAAGAUUCUAUGUUCAGGAUGAAGUACCAGAUGAAAAUAAUUUACCUGAGCAUCAAGACUCAAUGUCAGAAUCAGAAAUUGAAGUGGAGAAACAAAGAAGCCACAAAGGAGAAAGACCUAGUACUCUUAAUGAAGUGCUAGAUGAAAAUCUUAAGCUUAAACAUCAAGACUCAGAGUCAAAAACCCAAGUACAAUUUAAAAAACAAAAAAAAUCCACGGAGGAAAGAAUCAGUACUCAUUUUGGAGUACGAGAUGAAAAUUUAAUGCUUGUGAAUGAAGAUUCAGUGUCACAACCCCAAAUGCAAGUAGAGAAACAAAUAACUUACAGAAAGAAAAGGCGCCAUACUUAUUUUGGCAUACCUGAUGAAAAUCUUAUGUUUGCGAGUCAAGAUUCAGCAUCAAAAUCCCAAGUGCAAGCAAAGAAAAAAAUAACUUCCAGAAAGGAAAGACGUAAAACUGAGAAAAUGGAUGAAAAAGCAGGUAAAAAUCUUUCACCUGAAGAUAAUGAAGUUUUAAUCUCAAACGGCUUAUCUCAAAUUAAGACACUUGGAGCUACCAGAAAAGUGGGACUUACUAAACAUGAAAGGAAAUAUUCCUCGAUAAUUGAUCAGGAUAUGUAUGAACCCUCAGAUUUUACCCUUGAAGAUCUAGAACUUACUAUAGGAUACAAGGAUCAAAGAGAAAGAAGUGGAGUUUACCAAUCUCAAAGAUUGAAUGUCAAAAAUGAAGUAGCCUCAGAACUUCCAGAUAUGGCAGAUAUUCCAGCAAUUAAUCCAUCAAUUAGUGAUCUAAUACUUCAAUUAGAUUUAAACAAAGUAAUAGAAACUGAUAUAGAACACUUGAAGGAUGCCAUUGAAAGAAGUAUAUUGGUGAAGGAAAAGAAGAUACAAUCAAAGAGUCUCCCUGGUGUGAAUUUAUUCAAAAACAGAUAUAUGUCCACACAACAUCAAGAAGAUUUUUUUAACAGUCACAUUGCACCACGUAAAUUCUCUACAAACAGGAUCAGUUUUUCAACCUUUGACACUCAAGAUGAGAGACGUUUUGUUGAGCCCAGGAGUCCAUGGAAGUAGUUCCAAGCACACUGUUGGAACAACAACAAAAUCUGAUAUUGGAUACAUUGUAGAGGGCAAAAGGAACAUUUUGACUUUACUGCACCACUCCUUCAGGACAACCAUACUUCAUUGUCAAGAGAGCCCUUUUCAUCCCGGGAUUUCUUGCAUGGGAAAGAGUGAGAGCAUAGAACUGAGUCAUAAGCUGCAUGACCAGAGGGCAGAGAACGGCUGAGAGAACGGCAGUCAAGGCUCAGAACUAAAUGUAUAAAAGGAUUGUGACUGCUAAGUGUGUCAAGGACUCAAUCAGGAGGCCCACACAUCAGCUGCUGAAAAACUUCACCUGUGGAUCCCCCACACCUGACCCACAGGCACCUCCAGCACUUCAUGUGUCUCACCCACACAAACUCCACCCUGUGACUGGCUCCCUGUGCAUGCUCCCAACCACAACAAGAGUGAGCUUUGACAGACAGUGGACACCCACAAAAAGCAGACCUGGAAGAAACCAUAAAGUUGAGCAGUCAGCACUGCCAUAAGGAAAACAAAAAGGAGGACUUGAGCAACCACCCUGUCUUUAUAGCACAGAAACAAGGCUUAAGAAUUCUCCCACAAAAGAGAGCAAAAGAAAGAUCUGAAUACAUUUCACCCCAUGUGAAUAAACCUCCAAAAGCAUAUCACAGAACAUCUAGGGCUGGGUCAACCAUUUAUAAAACCAUCCAGUUUCCUUCACUAAAUAAAGAACCUCCA
RNA transcript from Prionailurus viverrinus (fishing cat), 2907 nucleotides. It is a transcript of the gene named coiled-coil domain-containing protein 7-like, with no coding region annotated. The transcript has 23 exons. The record is from RefSeq and is a predicted model, not a curated record. Lineage: Eukaryota; Metazoa; Chordata; Mammalia; Carnivora; Felidae.